This 253-nucleotide ribosomal RNA is filed under the name uncultured bacterium. RNAcentral's name for it is "partial 16S ribosomal RNA". It matches the Rfam family "Bacterial small subunit ribosomal RNA", at positions 524 to 776 of the family's 1533-position model. The record is from RNAcentral.
UACGUAGGCAGCGAGCGUUGUUCGGAGUUACUGGGCGUAAAGGGUGUGUAGGCGGUUGUUUAAGUUUGGUGUGAAAUCUCCCGGCUCAACUGGGAGGGUGCGCCGAAUACUGAAUGACUAGAGUGCGGGAGAGGAGACUGGAAUUUACGGUGUAGCGGUGAAAUGCGUAGAUAUCGUAAGGAAGACCAGUGGCGAAGGCGGGUCUCUGGACAGUUCCUGACGCUGAGGCACGAAGGUCAGGGGAGCAAACGGG